This 174-nucleotide ribosomal RNA is filed under the name Trematosphaeria pertusa. RNAcentral describes it as "partial small subunit ribosomal RNA". Lineage: Eukaryota; Fungi; Ascomycota; Dothideomycetes; Pleosporales; Trematosphaeriaceae. The record is from RNAcentral.
UAAAUAGCCAGGCUAGCUUUGGCUGGUCGCCGGCUUCUUAGAGGGACUAUCGGCUCAAGCCGAUGGAAGUUUGAGGCAAUAACAGGUUAACCUACACAGGCCUGUAACAGUGGGCCUCGUAAAAGAUAACUGCUAGUUCAGCGUUUUUACCUUCUUGGGGAAGUCCCCUACUGU